AUAAGCCAUCUUUUUUUUAAUCAAACUUGCUUUGCAAGGUGUCCCAGCACUCCCAUACUCAACCAAUCCCGGAAAAUUGAUUUCUGGCCGCUGAGAGGCCUCUCCAGAGGAAUCGGACUAGAACGCCAGAGGAGGUCACGCCCCAACCACGCUGGAGGUACGUUCCUGCCACUCUCGCCAUCACCCACUCUAGCACUUCAGAAAACACUAUGACACGCCCAGUGCGCGCUGUCCGGGAACUAAGGGCCACGUGAAGAAUGCAAGUAGCGCUCGAGCACUCGCGGGACCAGGCCUCGCCCGGCCGCUUCAGCCCGUGACCGUCCCCGAGGGGCUGCGACCGGCCUGAGGGAGAAGGAACCAGUUGGUGACCGGCGCGAGCCUCGUUUCUCAGCGGCAGGCAGUACACGCACACUCACCAGAGUGAAACCACAGGACCCCUAUGUGCUGUGCACUCAAGACCCAAACUAGAGGAAGGGUCUGUUUUACUGCCCAUGGAAGGCCACGUCUAAAAUUAAACCACGUUCAAGGGAACUGUGCACCCAAAUAUUUCUCAGUUGCAUCCCAGCCUCGAAAACCUGUUUUAGGGCUGGAAAGCUGGCUCAGCCGUUAUGAGCACUGGCUGCUCUACCAGAGGACCAGGGCUCAAUUUCCCCGCGUUUUCCACAUGGCAGCUCACAACUGUCUGUAGAUCCAGUCCUAGAGGACCCAACACCCUCACACAUACUUGCAUGCAAAACAACAGUGCACAUAAAAUGAAAAGAAAUAAAUCAAUGAGAACAAAA
Arvicanthis niloticus (Nile rat) is the source of this 782-nucleotide non-coding RNA. NCBI's taxonomy places the organism in Eukaryota, Metazoa, Chordata, Mammalia, Rodentia, Muridae. The record is from RefSeq and is a predicted model, not a curated record.